RNAcentral lists this long non-coding RNA (1451 nucleotides) under Macaca mulatta (Rhesus monkey). Its description in RNAcentral is "lncRNA (ENSMMUG00000052471.1)". The record is from RNAcentral. Lineage: Eukaryota; Metazoa; Chordata; Mammalia; Primates; Cercopithecidae.
CAGGCCUUGAGGUGGGGGAGGCAGGAAGGCCCCGGAGCCACCAGGGGCAGAGGAAAGGCUCGACCCCAGGGGUGGCCGAGGAGGCGAAGGGCUGUGGGGAAAAGGGACGUGGCUCCACUGCGGGGUUUCCGAUGGCGUCUGACACCUGUUCUCUCCCCUCAGUACAUGGGCUGCAUCGAGGUCCUCCGCUCCAUGCGCUCCCUGGACUUUAACACACGCACGCAGGUGACCAGGGAAAGCCAUCAACCGGCUCCACGAGGCCGUGCCUGGCGUCCGGGGAUCCUGGAAGAAAAAGGUGAGUUGAGGCUUGUGGUCUCUCGUGGGGCCGGUGGGGCACUUGGGAGCGCGGGGACGCUGUGGCCAUCCUGGGAGCCCCUCGGCGGGCCCCACCCAUGGCCGCCCUCGCUGUGCUCCGCCCCCAACUCAGGCCCCCAACAAGGCCCUGGCGUCUGUCCUGGGCAAGAGCAACCUUCGCUUCGCCGGCAUGAGCAUCUCCAUCCACAUCUCCACCGACGGCCUUCAGCCUCUCCGUGCCCGCCACGCGCCAGGUCAUCGCCAACCACCACAUGCCGUCCAUCUCCUUUGCAUCGGGCGGAGACACGGACAUGACGGAUUACGUGGCCUACGUCGCCAAGGACCCCAUCAACCAGAGAGCCUGCCACAUCCUGGAGUGCUGUGAAGGCCUGGCCCAGAGCGUCAUCAGCACCGUCGGCCAAGCCUUCGAGCUGCGCUUCAAGCAGUACCUGCACAGCCCACCCAAGGUGGCACUGCCCCCAGAAAGGUAACAGACCCGCCUCCCCCAUGCCCUGGGGACGCCCCCAGCGACCUGCCCGGGUGCAGAGCCGGCUCCACCUCCUGCAGGCCUCGGCCUCCAUCCUGCCCUUGUCCCUCCCUCCCUGUCCCCGAGAAUGUGGCUCGGCCAGAGGAUCCUGUUUCCUCGGCUGUAACACCCGGGUGAACGCAUCCCCGCCCCCAGGACUGGGGAGGACUGAGCGAGCUGACUCCCCGGUGUGCCCGAGGCUGUCAGCCCUGCCGCUAUAACCAACAUCCCUCCUCCAGACGCACGGCCGGCUCAACGGCCUCUGUCUCACCGCAGAAGAUGUGUGUGGGGGGCGUGUCUGUGUGCUGGUAACGUUAUUCAUAGACGUUGAAGUGUGAAUGUCACGUGUCGCAAAAUAUGAUUCUCUGGAUGUUUCUCAAACACUUAACUUUGAUGAUUUAGAGGCUGAACGCCCAUUCUUAGCUCGUGGGACACACAGAUCUAGGCAGUGAGCUGGAUUUGGCCCUGGGCUGGGGUUUGCCAGCCGGCCUUGGAGAAGGAGGCAUUUAAGUCUAUUCAUCAUUAGAAAGUCACGUUCCUCCAGCGGUGGGAGGGCAGGUGCAGGCCCGUGAGCUCCCAGCCCUGCUGGUCACGCGUGCUCACGCUCACCCCUUUGUGCACAGGGACGGCG